Molecule: ribosomal RNA, 1343 nt
Filed under: Bacteroides sp.
Lineage: Bacteria; Pseudomonadati; Bacteroidota; Bacteroidia; Bacteroidales; Bacteroidaceae
Also listed under: 1 other name
Description: bacterial SSU rRNA
Rfam family: Bacterial small subunit ribosomal RNA
Source: RNAcentral
GCGACCGGCGCACGGGUGAGUAACACGUAUCCAACCUGCCGAUAACUCCGGAAUAGCCUUUCGAAAGAAAGAUUAAUACCGGAUGGUAUACGAAUAUCGCAUGAUAUUUUUAUUAAAGAAUUUCGGUUAUCGAUGGGGAUGCGUUCCAUUAGUUUGUUGGCGGGGUAACGGCCCACCAAGACUACGAUGGAUAGGGGUUCUGAGAGGAAGGUCCCCCACAUUGGAACUGAGACACGGUCCAAACUCCUACGGGAGGCAGCAGUGAGGAAUAUUGGUCAAUGGGCGAGAGCCUGAACCAGCCAAGUAGCGUGAAGGAUGAAGGCUCUAUGGGUCGUAAACUUCUUUUAUAUGGGAAUAAAGUUUUCCACGUGUGGAAUUUUGUAUGUACCAUAUGAAUAAGGAUCGGCUAACUCCGUGCCAGCAGCCGCGGUAAUACGGAGGAUCCGAGCGUUAUCCGGAUUUAUUGGGUUUAAAGGGAGCGUAGGUGGAUUGUUAAGUCAGUUGUGAAAGUUUGCGGCUCAACCGUAAAAUUGCAGUUGAAACUGGCAGUCUUGAGUACAGUAGAGGUGGGCGGAAUUCGUGGUGUAGCGGUGAAAUGCUUAGAUAUCACGAAGAACUCCGAUUGCGAAGGCAGCUCACUAGACUGUCACUGACACUGAUGCUCGAAAGUGUGGGUAUCAAACAGGAUUAGAUACCCUGGUAGUCCACACAGUAAACGAUGAAUACUCGCUGUUUGCGAUAUACAGUAAGCGGCCAAGCGAAAGCAUUAAGUAUUCCACCUGGGGAGUACGCCGGCAACGGUGAAACUCAAAGGAAUUGACGGGGGCCCGCACAAGCGGAGGAACAUGUGGUUUAAUUCGAUGAUACGCGAGGAACCUUACCCGGGCUUAAAUUGCAACAGAAUAUAUUGGAAACAGUAUAGCCGUAAGGCUGUUGUGAAGGUGCUGCAUGGUUGUCGUCAGCUCGUGCCGUGAGGUGUCGGCUUAAGUGCCAUAACGAGCGCAACCCUUAUCUUUAGUUACUAACAGGUCAUGCUGAGGACUCUAGAGAGACUGCCGUCGUAAGAUGUGAGGAAGGUGGGGAUGACGUCAAAUCAGCACGGCCCUUACGUCCGGGGCUACACACGUGUUACAAUGGGGGGUACAGAAGGCGGCUACCUGGUGACAGGAUGCUAAUCCCAAAAACCUCUCUCAGUUCGGAUCGAAGUCUGCAACCCGACUUCGUGAAGCUGGAUUCGCUAGUAAUCGCGCAUCAGCCAUGGCGCGGUGAAUACGUUCCCGGGCCUUGUACACACCGCCCGUCAAGCCAUGAAAGCCGGGGGUACCUGAAGUACGUAACCGCAA